AAUUCUCGGUAUUUUUUGCUUUUUAAAUUUUCAGUUUCUUAAUUUUCGUUUUUUGAAUUUUCAUUUUUGGUUUUAAAUUUUUAGUUUUUGAAUUUUUGUUUUCAGUUUUUGUUUUUGGAUCUUCGUUUUCACUGUUGUUUGAGUUUGGGUUUUUGGAUCUGUUGUUUUGCUUUGGGUGGGUCUGUUCGUGGGGUUGUUUGGGGAUGGUGGUGCUUUCCGGCUCGUGUGGGGGUUCGGUUGGGUGGGGCUUUGGGUUAGGGUUUCAUCGUCGUCUUCUUCUACUUGCACUCGACAGCUCCUAUGGAGAACUCAUCAAUGGCAGAAUCAAAAUGGAUUUUCUCUCUCCUAUUAAUCUACUUCUUCGUCUCACCCGCCUCACUUUUUGUUGCCAGUGAAGAAGCACAAAAAGAAGAGUUCAAUGAAGAACUGCUACUGAAACCGUUGCCCGAUCGGAAAGUUCUAGCGCAUUUUCACUUCGAUUCAAAAGCUAUUUUUUCCUCCUAUAAUGGCGGACAUCAUUUCCAUCUCUUUCCUAAGCUAAUACUCACUCCUAUUUCACAAUCUAAAAAACUGAAGUUAUGCUCAUGGGGGUGUUGCGAGAUGAUUCACUUGGCAAUAGAUGUUUCUUGUUGGCGGUUUCAGCUACAAAUUAUUGGACAAAACAAAGCAUAGAAAAGGUUUAUGGUCACCUGAAGAAGAUCAAAAUCUAAGAAAUUACAUUCUUCAACAUGGCCAUGGCUGUUGGAGCAGUGUUCCUAUUAAUGCAGGUUUGUUUGGGUUUGAUAGGAUGACUUUGGAAAGGUUGAAGAUUGAAAAUUUGUAUAUUGAAGAAGAAAUGAUUUCUUUCUAAUGUAUUAGAUAGAUUUUUUGUUAUUAUUUAUUUAAGUAAGGUUGUAAAUUAUUCACAAAUUUUGAUUUAUCAUUUCUAUUUAUAUUGUAAUUACUUUUAUUACAUAUAAUAAUAAUUAUAAUUUUUCCUCUA
Beta vulgaris subsp. vulgaris (sugar beet) is the source of this 982-nucleotide long non-coding RNA. RefSeq lists it as uncharacterized. Lineage: Eukaryota; Viridiplantae; Streptophyta; Magnoliopsida; Caryophyllales; Amaranthaceae. The transcript has 3 exons. The record is from RefSeq and is a predicted model, not a curated record.